GAUGAACGCUGGCGGCGUGCCUAAUACAUGCAAGUAGAACGCUGAAGGAAGGAGCUUGCUCUUUCCGGAUGAGUUGCGAACGGGUGAGUAACGCGUAGGUAACCUGCCUGGUAGCGGGGGAUAACUAUUGGAAACGAUAGCUAAUACCGCAUAACAGUAGAUGUUGCAUGAUAUCUACUUAAAAGGUGCAAUUGCACCACUACCAGAUGGACCUGCGUUGUAUUAGCUAGUUGGUGAGGUAACGGCUCACCAAGGCGACGAUACAUAGCCGACCUGAGAGGGUGAUCGGCCACACUGGGACUGAGACACGGCCCAGACUCCUACGGGAGGCAGCAGUAGGGAAUCGUCGGCAAGGGACGGAAGUCUGACCGGGCAACGCCGCGUGAGUGAAGAAGGUUUUCGGAUCGUAAAGCUCUGUUGUAAGAGAAGAACGAGUGUGAGAGUGGAAAGUUCACACUGUGACGGUAUCUUACCAGAAAGGGACGGCUAACUACGUG
This 497-nucleotide ribosomal RNA is filed under the name uncultured bacterium. RNAcentral describes it as "partial 16S ribosomal RNA". It matches the Rfam family "Bacterial small subunit ribosomal RNA", at positions 28 to 507 of the family's 1533-position model. The record is from RNAcentral.